Molecule: long non-coding RNA, 285 nt
Filed under: Brassica napus (rape)
Lineage: Eukaryota; Viridiplantae; Streptophyta; Magnoliopsida; Brassicales; Brassicaceae
Description: long non-coding RNA (BNAP_LNC019058)
Source: RNAcentral
CUAAAUCCUAGUCUAUAUGAUCAAAAUGCACAUGGGUGAAUGAAUAAAACAAUGUAAAUAUGCAAGAUAUCACUGCCUAAGACCCCUAGAACUUUGGAAGUAGCCAGCUAGAUCGCCAUUAACUUGCACGGAAAAAGAUGGGCUUGUGAUACAAAGCGCAAUCCAAUGAACAAAUCUCGCAGGGAAACCCAACACCUUCAAGCUCUUCAGAACAAAUUCCCAUUGCACUGAGUCAAAUGCUUUAGCUAUAUCAAUCUUCAUAACACACCUCGGAGAGACCCCAUC